Molecule: ribosomal RNA, 394 nt
Filed under: uncultured bacterium
Lineage: Bacteria
Description: bacterial SSU rRNA
Rfam family: Bacterial small subunit ribosomal RNA
Source: RNAcentral
UCGGGAAUUUUGGGCAAUGGGCGAAAGCCUGACCCAGCAACGCCGCGUGAAGGAUGAAGUAUUUCGGUAUGUAAACUUCGUAAGAAUAGGAAGAAUAAAAUGACGGUACUAUUUGUAAGGUCCGGCUAACUACGUGCCAGCAGCCGCGGUAAUACGUAGGGACCAAGCGUUGUUCGGAUUUACUGGGCGUAAAGGGCGCGUAGGCGGCGUGGUAAGUCAUCUGUGAAAUCUCCGAGCUUAACUCGGAACGGUCAGAUGAUACUGCUGUGCUAGAGUACAGAAAGGGCAAUCGGAAUUCUGGUGUAGCGGUGAAAUGCGUAGAUAUCAAGAGGAACACCUGAGGCGAAGGCGAGUUGCUAGGCUGACACUGACGCUGAGGUACGAAAGCUAGGGG